RNAcentral lists this ribosomal RNA (490 nucleotides) under uncultured bacterium. Its description in RNAcentral is "partial 16S ribosomal RNA". It matches the Rfam family "Bacterial small subunit ribosomal RNA", at positions 30 to 507 of the family's 1533-position model. The record is from RNAcentral.
AUUGAACGCUGGCGGCAGGCCCAACCCAUGCACGUCGAACGGUAACAGGAAGCAGCUUGCUGCUUUGCUGAUGAGUGGCGGACGGGUCAGUAAUGACUGGGAAACCGUCCGAUGGAGGGGGAUAACUACUGGAAACGGUAGCUAAUACCGCCUAACGUCGCAAGAACAAAGCGGGGGACCUUAGGGCCUCUCGCCAUCGGAUGUGCCCAGAUGGGUUAAGCUAGUAGGUGGGGUAACGGCUCCCCUCGGCUGCGUUCCCUACCUGGUCCGAGAGGAUGACCAGCCUCACUAGAACUGAGGCACGGUCCAAACGCCUACGGGAGGCAGCAGUGGGGAAUAUUGCACGAUGGGCGCAAUCCUGAUGCAGCCAUGCCGCGUGUAGGGAGGAGGCCUUCGGGGUGUAAAGUACGUUCAGCGGGGAGGAGGGGAGUAAAUUUAAUACCUUUGCUCAUUGACGUGACCCGCAGGAGGAGCACCGGCUAACUCCGUG